RNAcentral lists this long non-coding RNA (609 nucleotides) under Sus scrofa (pig). RNAcentral's name for it is "lncRNA (ENSSSCG00060038342.1, ENSSSCG00070002718.1)". Lineage: Eukaryota; Metazoa; Chordata; Mammalia; Artiodactyla; Suidae. The record is from RNAcentral.
UCAGAGUCAAAAUUGUAGAAUGUGGUACUCUACUGUAUACAUCUUACCCUACAAAUAACUCAGCUGAUAUGGAAAUGCAUACUUGCAAGGCUGCGUCAGUCACAGAAUUUUGAUUGGAAUAUAUCUAGAGAGGAACAGACUACAGCCACACCACUCAACCUAUGCACCAAGGUAUGCUCUCAAGAGCUGCAGCCAAAUCAUGGAGGAGCUGCGUAUUUAAAAUUUUCAAGAAAAACACAGCAAUACUCCGCAUCUCUCAGUCAUGGAAUGAAAAACAUUAACAACUUCAGCGUAACAUGGGGCUCUGUUCCUUUUGAUGAUAUCAUAACUAGCUGAGCUGUGUUUCCUGCAGUUUCAGGAAAAAAAGUAAGUAAUAUACAAAAAUCAGUGUGAAACAGGAAAUGAGUGUGAGUGCUUGCUGACUUACAGGCUUGCAGAGGCAAACAGGUGCACACAUCCAGUUUGUAACUGUGGUUAUUUAAGAAUGAACUAAAAAUAUUAUUUUGUUCUUUCAAUUUAUGUGUAUUUUUUCCAAAAUCCUACUAAGUUGUUAGGACAUAAAUACUUAUUAAGCUCUUUGGAACUAGCUACUAAAUAAAUGGAACUGCU